GCCCUUGGAAGGGGUGUAUUUAUUAGAUUAAAAACCAAUGCCCUUCGGGGCUCACUGGUGAUUCAUGAUAACUCCUCGAAUCGCAUGGCCUUGUGCCGGCGAUGGUUCAUUCAAAUUUCUUCCCUAUCAACUUUCGAUGUUUGGGUAUUGGCCAAACAUGGUUGCAACGGGUAACGGAGGGUUAGGGCUCGACCCCGGAGAAGGAGCCUGAGAAACGGCUACUACAUCCAAGGAAGGCAGCAGGCGCGCAAAUUACCCAAUCCCGACACGGGGAGGUAGUGACAAUAAAUACUGAUACAGGGCUCUUUUGGGUCUUGUAAUUGGAAUGAGUACAAUUUAAAUCCCUUAACGAGGAACAAUUGGAGGGCAAGUCUGGUGCCAGCAGCCGCGGUAAUUCCAGCUCCAAUAGCGUAUAUUAAAGUUGUUGUGGUUAAAAAGCUCGUAGUUGAACCUUGGGCCUGGCUGGCCGGUCCGCCUCGCCGCGUGUACUGGUCCGGCCGGGCCUUUCCCUCUGUGGAACCCCAUGCCCUUCACUGGGUGUGGCGGGGAACCAGGACUUUUACAAGGGC
RNAcentral lists this ribosomal RNA (569 nucleotides) under uncultured fungus. Its description in RNAcentral is "SSU rRNA". It matches the Rfam family "Eukaryotic small subunit ribosomal RNA", at positions 185 to 761 of the family's 1831-position model. Lineage: Eukaryota; Fungi. The record is from RNAcentral.